Molecule: ribosomal RNA, 392 nt
Filed under: Auranticordis sp.
Lineage: Eukaryota; Cercozoa
Description: partial small subunit ribosomal RNA
Rfam family: Eukaryotic small subunit ribosomal RNA
Source: RNAcentral
AGCUCCAGUAGCGUAUAUUAAUGUUGUUGCAGUUAAAAAGCUCGUAGUUGGAUUUCUGACUCGGUGGGCUGACCCGCUUUCAAAUCGAGAGCGUGUGUUGCGCUACGCCAGUCAUCUUUUCGGGGAACUGUCUUACCCUUCACUGGGCCGAGAUCGCGAACCGAAACUUUUACUUUGAAAAAAUUAGAGUGUUCAAAGCAGGCUAUUGCACAUGAAUACAUUAGCAUGGAAUAAUAACUUAGGACUUCGGUCUUAAUUUGUUGGUUUCUAGGGCUGAAGUAAUGAUUGAUAGGGAUAGUUGGGGGUGCUAGUAUUCAGCGGCCAGAGGUGAAAUUCUUGGAUUCGCUGAAGACUAACUUAUGCGAAAGCAUUCACCAAGGAUGUCUUCUUUA